GGAAUUUUCCGCAAUGGGCGAAAGCCUGACCAAGCAACGCCGCGUGGGUGAUGAAGUCUCUUGGGACGUAAAACCCUUUCGACGGGGACGAAACCGCAAGGUUGACGGUACCCGUAGCAGAAGCCCCGGCUAACUCCGUUCCAGCAGCCGCGGUAAUACGGGGGGGGCAAGCGUUGUUCGGAAUUACUGGGCGUAAAGGGCGCGUAGGCGGCGCUCUAAGUCGGAUGUGAAAACUCUGGGCUCAACCCAGAGCCUGCAUCCGAAACUGGAGGGCUAGAGUUCUGGAGGGGAAAGCGGAAUUCCUGGUGUAGCGGUGAAAUGCGUAGAUAUCAGGAGGAACACCGGUGGCGAAGGCGGCUUUCUGGACAGAAACUGACGCUGAGGCGCGAAAGCUAGGGGAGCAAAC
Molecule: ribosomal RNA, 406 nt
Filed under: uncultured bacterium
Lineage: Bacteria
Description: bacterial SSU rRNA
Rfam family: Bacterial small subunit ribosomal RNA
Source: RNAcentral